RNAcentral lists this small RNA (89 nucleotides) under Salmonella enterica. RNAcentral describes it as "partial RtT sRNA". It matches the Rfam family "RtT RNA", at positions 1 to 88 of the family's 130-position model. Rfam says of the family: This family represents a bacterial cis-regulatory element known as RtT RNA. The exact function of RtT is unknown although it is thought that it may be involved in changing the cellular response in relation to amino acid starvation. The record is from RNAcentral. RNAcentral also lists the same sequence under 1 other name. Lineage: Bacteria; Pseudomonadati; Pseudomonadota; Gammaproteobacteria; Enterobacterales; Enterobacteriaceae.
UAUCUCUCCGUACGGGGAAGGAUGAGAAGCUUCGACUAAGGUUCGAUUCGAGCGCAGCGAGAAAGCGUUGCCGCAGGCAACGACCCGAA